Molecule: unclassified non-coding RNA, 22 nt
Filed under: Mus musculus (house mouse)
Lineage: Eukaryota; Metazoa; Chordata; Mammalia; Rodentia; Muridae
Description: oocyte_clustered_small_RNA9817
Source: RNAcentral
UCUGGAAGAGGUCGUAUGCCAC